This 506-nucleotide ribosomal RNA is filed under the name uncultured bacterium. Its description in RNAcentral is "partial 16S ribosomal RNA". It matches the Rfam family "Bacterial small subunit ribosomal RNA", at positions 29 to 523 of the family's 1533-position model. The record is from RNAcentral.
AGUGAACGCUGGCGGUAGGCCUAACACAUGCAAGUCGAACGGCAGCACAGGAGAGCUUGCUCUCUGGGUGGCGAGUGGCGGACGGGUGAGGAAUACAUCGGAAUCUACUCUGUCGUGGGGGAUAACGUAGGGAAACUUACGCUAAUACCGCAUACGACCUACGGGUGAAAGCAGGGGACCUUCGGGCCUUGCGCGAUUGAAUGAGCCGAUGCCGGAUUAGCUAGUUGGCGGGGUAAAGGCCCACCAAGGCGACGAUCCGUAGCUGGGCUGAGACGAUGAUCAGCCACACUGUGACUGAGCCACGGUCCAGACUCCUACGGGAGGCAGCAGUGGGGAAUAUUGGACAAUGGGCGCAAGCCUGAUCCAGCCAUACCGCGUGGGUGAAGAAGGCCUUCGGGUUGUAAAGCCCUUUUGUUGGGAAAGAAAUCCAGCUGGCUAAUACCCGGUUGGGAUGACGGUACCCAAAGAAUAAGCACCGGCUAACUUCGUGCCAGCCGCCGCAGUAA